GCCGAUGUAGCUCAGUUGGUAGAGCGCUUGAUUCGUAAUCAAAAGGUCGGCGGUUCAAAUCCGCCCAUCGGCU
This 73-nucleotide transfer RNA is filed under the name Candidatus Aminicenantota bacterium. Its description in RNAcentral is "Candidatus Aminicenantes bacterium tRNA-Thr". It matches the Rfam family "tRNA". Rfam says of the family: Transfer RNA (tRNA) molecules are approximately 80 nucleotides in length. The record is from RNAcentral. Lineage: Bacteria; Candidatus Aminicenantota. RNAcentral also lists the same sequence under 1 other name.